Drosophila persimilis is the source of this 121-nucleotide non-coding RNA. NCBI's taxonomy places the organism in Eukaryota, Metazoa, Arthropoda, Insecta, Diptera, Drosophilidae. The record is from Rfam.
CGGCGAUCGGACCCUUUCGAGUGUGGAGAGCAUGGGAGUUGGCGGACAUAUGAGUGUUCCACCAUGAACCUCGUCCAGGCCACUCUCAUCUCGUCCGCCCGCUCGAGAGGUCGCGAUCGUC